UGGGGAAUCUUGCACAAUGGGCGAAAGCCUGACGCAGCAACACCGCGUGAGGGAUGACGGCCUUCGGGUUGUAAACCUCUUUCAGCUCCGACGAAGCGAAAGUGACGGUAGGAGCAGAAGAAGCACCGGCUAACUACGUGCCAGCAGCCGCGGUAAUACGUAGGGUGCAAGCGUUGUCCGGAAUUAUUGGGCGUAAAGAGCUCGUAGGCGGUCCGUUGCGUCUGCCGUGAAAACCCGGAGCUCAACUCCGGGCCUGCGGUGGAUACGGGCGGACUAGAGUCCGGUAGGGGAGACUGGAAUUCCUGGUGGUAGCGGUGGAAUGCGCAGAUAUCAGGAGGAACACCGGUGGCGAAGGCGGGUCUCUGGGCCGGAACUGACGCUGAGGAGCGAAAGCGU
Molecule: ribosomal RNA, 396 nt
Filed under: uncultured bacterium
Lineage: Bacteria
Description: bacterial SSU rRNA
Rfam family: Bacterial small subunit ribosomal RNA
Source: RNAcentral